Molecule: small nucleolar RNA, 138 nt
Organism: Tachyglossus aculeatus (Australian echidna)
Lineage: Eukaryota; Metazoa; Chordata; Mammalia; Monotremata; Tachyglossidae
Source: RefSeq, a predicted model, not a curated record
CCCCUCUCAGGGUCGCACCUGGAGAGUUUCCAGUACACAACCAGUCACGAUUGCAGGAGGGAGAGUCAAGCAGAGGCAUACCCAUUCCAUUCCUACCUUGGGCAGUUGCUAGCGAAUGGAAGACAAUCUGCUACAGAU